AGUGAACGCUGGCGGUAGGCCUAACACAUGCAAGUCGAACGGCAGCACAGUAAGAGCUUGCUCUUACGGGUGGCGAGUGGCGGACGGGUGAGGAAUACAUCGGAAUCUACUUUUUCGUGGGGGAUAACGUAGGGAAACUUACGCUAAUACCGCAUACGACCUACGGGUGAAAGCAGGGGAUCUUCGGACCUUGCGCGAUUGAAUGAGCCGAUGUCGGAUUAGCUAGUUGGCGGGGUAAAGGCCCACCAAGGCGACGAUCGGUAGCUGAUCUGAGAGGAUGAUCGGCCACACUGGAACUGAGACACGGUCCAGACUCCUACGGGAGGCAGCAGUGGGGAAUAUUGGGCAAUGGGCGCAAGCCUGAUCCAGCCAUACCGCGUGGGUGAAGAAGGCCUUCGGGUUGUAAAGCCCUGUUGUUGGGAAAGAAAAGCAGCAGAUUAAUACCCCGCUGUUCUGACGGUACCCAAAGAAUAAGCACCGGCUAACUUCGUG
This 492-nucleotide ribosomal RNA is filed under the name uncultured bacterium. RNAcentral describes it as "partial 16S ribosomal RNA". It matches the Rfam family "Bacterial small subunit ribosomal RNA", at positions 29 to 507 of the family's 1533-position model. The record is from RNAcentral.